This is a non-coding RNA of Acanthosepion pharaonis, 104 nucleotides long. The record is from the annotation of a GenBank genome assembly. Lineage: Eukaryota; Metazoa; Mollusca; Cephalopoda; Sepiida; Sepiidae.
UUACGGCCACAUCACGUUGAAACACUGGAUUACCGAAGUUAAGCUACGACGAGACUGGUCAGUACCUAGAUGGGUGACCGCUUGUGAAUACCAGGUGCUGUAAG